This 713-nucleotide long non-coding RNA is filed under the name Helianthus annuus (common sunflower). RNAcentral describes it as "hypothetical non coding rna". Lineage: Eukaryota; Viridiplantae; Streptophyta; Magnoliopsida; Asterales; Asteraceae. The record is from RNAcentral.
GCUGCUACAAUCCAACUCAACAAUUCUGAUGUUUGUAAGUUUGUAUUGAAUCACUCUUCAUCAUGGCUGGCUUGCAGCCUUGCAGGGCUCAGUUGAAUCAACUUUUAGAUUUCUACGAUGUUGUCAAUGAAUGCACACCAGUUGCUCGAUGAAAUGCCUGUGUGAAUCUUUUCUUUUGACAGAGACCACUAGUUUGAUUUGUGCUGGGUUUUGAGUAGACUGUUCAAAAGAUUUCUUUUGGUUAGUAUUUUUUGCUGCAAGAUUUGAACUAUUUUGGUACGUUGCAUUCAUUUCAUCCCUGUAAACAUAGGAUAGUUUUGAUACCUAAAUAAAUAUAUGGAUUUCAUAAUUUUUGUGUUCUGUAUACAAACCAACACUCCAAUACUAUGCUGGUUUAUUGGAUAAGUCACAACUGAAUAUACACAGUUGGUCAAUGUGUAGAAGAAUCUCACAAAAUUGGUGGACUUGGCCCACGUAAAAUGCUUUCUUUUAUAAUACCUUCGGCCAGGUUUUAAACGUUUUGAUUACUUUCCGUCCAAAACCGUGGACCGACCCAAACCCGACUCUUGGCAAAUAUAAGAGCAGAGGACCAAGUAUUAUGUAUAAUAUCGGUUCAGUUCCGGAAAAUUUUUGGUCCGAUUCUCGGGUAUUAUCGGGUUGUGCAGAAUUCAGCUCACCCCUAUCUCACUUUAUGAUAUGGUGGGAUCUAUCUU